UUAAUGGAGAGUUUGAUCCUGGCUCAGGACGAACGCUGGCGGCGUGCCUAAUACAUGCAAGUCGAGCGGAUCUGUUCCUUCGGGGAUAGGUUAGCGGCGGACGGGUGAGUAACACGUAGGCAACCUGCCUGUAAGAUCGGGAUAACUACCGGAAACGGUAGCUAAGACCGGAUAGCUGGUUUCUUCGCAUGGAGAGAUCAUGAAACAUGGGGCAACCUAUGACUUACAGAUGGGCCUGCGGCGCAUUAG
RNAcentral lists this non-coding RNA (249 nucleotides) under Paenibacillus sp. UNCCL117. Its description in RNAcentral is "Bacterial small subunit ribosomal RNA". It matches the Rfam family "Bacterial small subunit ribosomal RNA", at positions 1 to 244 of the family's 1533-position model. The record is from Rfam by way of RNAcentral. Lineage: Bacteria; Bacillati; Bacillota; Bacilli; Caryophanales; Paenibacillaceae.